GAUUGAACGCUGGCGGCAUGCCUUACACAUGCAAGUCGAACGGCAGCACGGACUUCGGUCUGGUGGCGAGUGGUGAACGGGUGAGUAAUAUAUCGGAACAUACCCAGUAGUGGGGGAUAACUAUCCGAAAGGAUAGCUAAUACCGCAUACGAUCUGUGGAUGAAAGCAGGGGAUCUUCGGACCUUGUGCUAUUGGAAUGGCCGAUAUCUGAUUAGCUAGUUGGUAGGGUAAAAGCCUACCAAGGCGACGAUCAGUAGCUGGUCUGAGAGGACGACCAGCCACACUGGAACUGAGACACGGUCCAGACUCCUACGGGAGGCAGCAGUGGGGAAUUUUGGACAAUGGGGGCAACCCUGAUCCAGCAAUGCCGCGUGAGUGAAGAAGGCCCUCGGGUUGUAAAGCUCUUUUGUCAGGGAAGAAACGGAGUUCUCUAAUAUAGGAUUCUAAUGACGGUACCUGAAGAAUAAGCACCGGCUAACUACGUGCCAGCAGCCGCGGUAAUACGUAGGGUGCAAGCGUUAAUCGGAAUUACUGGGCGUAAAGCGUGCGCAGGCGGUUUUGUAAGUCUGAUGUGAAAUCCCCGGGCUCAACCUGGGAACUGCAUUGGAGACUGCAAGGCUAGAGUGUGUCAGAGGGGGGUAGAAUUCCACGUGUAGCAGUGAAAUGCGUAGAGAUGUGGAGGAAUACCGAUGGCGAAGGCAGCCCCCUGGGAUAACACUGACGCUCAUGCACGAAAGCGUGGGGAGCAAACAGG
RNAcentral lists this ribosomal RNA (754 nucleotides) under uncultured beta proteobacterium. Its description in RNAcentral is "bacterial SSU rRNA". It matches the Rfam family "Bacterial small subunit ribosomal RNA", at positions 27 to 776 of the family's 1533-position model. Lineage: Bacteria; Pseudomonadati; Pseudomonadota; Betaproteobacteria. The record is from RNAcentral.